RNAcentral lists this ribosomal RNA (235 nucleotides) under uncultured bacterium. RNAcentral's name for it is "partial 16S ribosomal RNA". It matches the Rfam family "Bacterial small subunit ribosomal RNA", at positions 118 to 347 of the family's 1533-position model. The record is from RNAcentral.
UGAGGAACAUGACCUUCGGCGGGGGAUAGCCGGCCCAACGGCCGGGUAAUACCGCGUACGACCACUUUGGGACAUCCCUCGGUGGUGAAAGCAGCAAUGCGCCGAUGGAGUGCCUCGCGGCCUAUCAGCUAGUUGGUGAGGUAACGGCUCACCAAGGCGACGGACGGGUAGCUGGUCUGAGAGGGUGGCCAGCCACAGUUGGGACUGAGACACGGCCCAGACCUCCGUACGGGAG